CCGCGUGAGUGAUGAAGGUUUUCGGAUCGUAAAGCUCUGUUGUUAGGGAAGAACAAGUGCCGUUCAAAUAGGGCGGCACCUUGACGGUACCUAACCAGAAAGCCACGGCUAACUACGUGCCAGCAGCCGCGGUAAUACGUAGGUGGCAAGCGUUGUCCGGAAUUAUUGGGCGUAAAGGGCUCGCAGGCGGUUUCUUAAGUCUGAUGUGAAAGCCCCCGGCUCAACCGGGGAGGGUCAUUGGAAACUGGGGAACUUGAGUGCAGAAGAGGAGAGUGGAAUUCCACGUGUAGCGGUGAAAUGCGUAGAGAUGUGGAGGAACACCAGUGGCGAAGGCGACUCUCUGGUCUGUAACUGACGCUGAGGAGCGAAAGCGUGGGGAGCGAACAGGAUUAGAUACCCUGGUAGUCCACGCCGUAAACGAUGAGUGCUAAGUGUUAGGGGGUUUCCGCCCCUUAGUGCUGCAGCUAACGCAUUAAGCACUCCGCCUGGGGAGUACGGUCGCAAGACUGAAACUCAAAGGAAUUGACGGGGGCCCGCACAAGCGGUGGAGCAUGUGGUUUAAUUCGAAGCAACGCGAAGAACCUUACCAGGUCUUGACAUCCUCUGACAAUCCUAGAGAUAGGACGUCCCCUUCGGGGGCAGAGUGACAGGUGGUGCAUGGGUUGUCGUCAGCUCGUGUCGUGAGAUGUUGGGUUAAGUCCCGCAACGAGCGCAACCCUUGAUCUUAGUUGCCAGCAUUCAGUUGGGCACUCUAAGGUGACUGCCGGUGA
Molecule: ribosomal RNA, 770 nt
Filed under: Bacillus velezensis
Lineage: Bacteria; Bacillati; Bacillota; Bacilli; Caryophanales; Bacillaceae
Also listed under: 1 other name
Description: bacterial SSU rRNA
Rfam family: Bacterial small subunit ribosomal RNA
Source: RNAcentral